GCCUACGGGGCGCAGCAGUAGGGAAUCUUCCACAAUGGGCGAAAGCCUGAUGGAGCAACGCCGCGUGGGUGAAGAAGGUCUUCGGAUCGUAAAACCCUGUUGUUAGAGAAGAAAGUGCGUGAGAGUAACUGUUCACGUUUCGACGGUAUCUAACCAGAAAGCCACGGCUAACUACGUGCCAGCAGCCGCGGUAAUACGUAGGUGGCAAGCGUUAUCCGGAUUUAUUGGGCGUAAAGAGAACGCAGGCGGUCUUUUAAGUCUGAUGUGAAAACCUUCGGCUUAACCGGAGUAUUGCAUUGGCAACU
RNAcentral lists this ribosomal RNA (305 nucleotides) under uncultured bacterium. Its description in RNAcentral is "bacterial SSU rRNA". It matches the Rfam family "Bacterial small subunit ribosomal RNA", at positions 337 to 634 of the family's 1533-position model. The record is from RNAcentral.